CAAGUUCGUAGGAACUGGGAAGAUCAUAC
Molecule: ribosomal RNA, 29 nt
Filed under: Gloniopsis percutanea
Lineage: Eukaryota; Fungi; Ascomycota; Dothideomycetes; Hysteriales; Hysteriaceae
Description: Plectophomella sp. FMR 8713 partial 18S ribosomal RNA
Source: RNAcentral